RNAcentral lists this transfer RNA (88 nucleotides) under Candidatus Harrisonbacteria bacterium RIFCSPLOWO2_02_FULL_41_13b. Its description in RNAcentral is "tRNA-Ser". It matches the Rfam family "tRNA". From Rfam's summary of the family: Transfer RNA (tRNA) molecules are approximately 80 nucleotides in length. Lineage: Bacteria; Candidatus Harrisoniibacteriota. RNAcentral also lists the same sequence under 2 other names. The record is from RNAcentral.
GGAGGCGUCGCAUAGUGGUCUAGUGCGCUCGCUUGGAAAGCGAGUAUACCGAAAGGUAUCAGAGGUUCAAAUCCUCUCGCCUCCGCCA